Non-coding RNA from Gossypium raimondii (Peruvian cotton), 87 nucleotides. The record is from Rfam. NCBI's taxonomy places the organism in Eukaryota, Viridiplantae, Streptophyta, Magnoliopsida, Malvales, Malvaceae.
CAUGUCAGCGGUCUUUGCUGACGUGGACACAAAUCGCGUCCUCUGAAGCACGAUUUGUUGCCAUGUCAGCAAAGCGCGCUGACGUGG